AUUCUCGAAACAGUCAUUUUUUGCACUCUUUUGAUGUUGCCACUGUAUGCCAUGUUUUGCAAGCUUUUGAUGUUGCUAUGUGGAUGCCUUAUGUUCCUGUUCUUUUGCGGAAAUUGAAAAUAUUUUCUCCUAUAAUAGCAGGUUAGUUAAAAGUUUAUCUUUUUACAGGUACUCCAUUUAUCAACUUAAAUAAAAAUAUAUUCUUUCUGCUGUUAUAAUUAUUGUUAUGACUAAAGACUAUUGUGUUCAUUUUUAGCUCCUAAAAGAUGAUGUAACUUUCCUCUAUUGAUCUUGUUGGAAUAACCACCUUAAACUGAUAGAUUCAAAAACUACAAUACGAAAUAACAGUUAGUAAUUAAAAACUUGUGAAAUUAAACCUGUUUGGUAAAACUGUUUGCCUAUUUUGAUUUAUAUUUCUUCUGCAAAUUUCUCUAAAUUAAAACUAACAAGAUAUAAUUAAUCCUCUUAUAUCUAUAUUUUCAACCAUAGAAAAACUUUGAUUAUCCUUGAUUAAUGUUUAGUCCAUGAUUUCACAUUAUCUAUCUAGAAAAAGAUGAUGAGAAUAAUCCUAUACUAUAUGCAAAGCUUGGGAAAGUUUUAUGCUAUAUAAACUUUACGAAUUCUUAUAAUUUUUCAUCAAAUUUUAUUUUUGCAUCAUACUAUAUUUUCUUUGUCUAUAUGAGUUAAAAUAUCGAUUCUUACAGUCGCAAUCAUAUGUCCAUAUAGUAUCUACUCAAGAUCUACAUGUGAAUCUCUUGAACUAAAUUUCUCCAACACAAGUUUAAACUAAAUUUAAAAAAAAAUCAUAAUUUUUUGUCCAGAUUGAUUAAUCCUUUGACAUUACCGUCACAAUUUCGAAUCAAUUUCUUUAUGAAUAAUCCUCCUUUAGUCUUAUAUAUAAUAUUGUUUGAGUUGUAUCUUAUGAAUUACCA
Molecule: long non-coding RNA, 932 nt
Filed under: Solanum tuberosum (potato)
Lineage: Eukaryota; Viridiplantae; Streptophyta; Magnoliopsida; Solanales; Solanaceae
Description: long non-coding RNA (STUB_LNC000837)
Source: RNAcentral